GACCCUCAUGCUUUAAUGCUCAAUCAAGU
RNAcentral lists this non-coding RNA (29 nucleotides) under Rattus norvegicus (Norway rat). The record is from RNAcentral. Lineage: Eukaryota; Metazoa; Chordata; Mammalia; Rodentia; Muridae.